Long non-coding RNA from Cotesia glomerata, 543 nucleotides. RefSeq lists it as uncharacterized. Lineage: Eukaryota; Metazoa; Arthropoda; Insecta; Hymenoptera; Braconidae. The transcript has 3 exons. The record is from RefSeq and is a predicted model, not a curated record.
UUGGUUAAUUAUUUUUUUAAAUCAUAAUUAUGUAAAAAUAUUAUUAAAAUUCAUCCACACUGAUUCAUGAUAACUAAUUGAUUUUAAACUUCAGAUUCUGUCAAGGAAUUGAAAGAUCCUAACUUGCGUUAUCGGAUUCCAAAAAUAACAAAUUAUUCUUCGCCUUGUACCUCCUCAUCGGAAAAUGAAGAAGUAGGUGUUCUAAAGGCUAAACUAGUUAGAAAAAAUAAGAAACGAAAUUUGGUAUCAUCAAGAAAAAGUAGGGUUGACGAGAUCCUAAAUGCUCACCAAAAGGGUAGUUUAGUUAGAAAUAAGGGAAACAAAGAUUCAGUCGAUAAUGACGAGGAUAAAAAGAACGAAGAAGAAAAAGAAAACGAUGAUGAUACAUAUGACGAAGAGCUUGAAUUUGAAUUGAGAAAUAAUGAAACGAAUAGAGAAAAUUUAACAACAAUUCAAAAUUCUAAUCUGCCAAGGACUGCUCACAAUAGUAAAUUUAAUAUGCAAGCUGGAUCAAGUAAGGUAUAAAAGGUUUAUUAAUAUAUG